This is a long non-coding RNA of Neofelis nebulosa (Clouded leopard), 4292 nucleotides long. RefSeq lists it as uncharacterized. NCBI's taxonomy places the organism in Eukaryota, Metazoa, Chordata, Mammalia, Carnivora, Felidae. The record is from RefSeq and is a predicted model, not a curated record. The transcript is spliced from 2 exons.
UACCACUAUUAGUUAUUUUCCACCAGUUUUCCUGUAUCAUUUCAUAAAAGGAAUGUAGCAUUUCCUAAAUGAGCUCAUUGCCUAUUUUUGAGUUAUAAAAGCCUGAAAGGCUCUGAAAGAUUGUUUUCAGAACUGUACAUUUCUCCAGGUGAAGCUGUCACAUGGCCUAGAAGUGACAUGGCUUCUAAUUAAGGAAGUCUCUAAAGGCUCUUCCUUUCAAUUCAGGAAGACCCUCUGGCCUUCAAUUUGAGAAUGGUGUCUACUGUGUCAGGAUAGGAUUCUCCAUACUUCAGAAAAUGCCUUUUGUAUGAGGAGAGGAUGGGUAUUGGGAAUUCAAGAAUAUAGUUUAGAACUUAAAAUUUUAUCUAGUCUACUUCUUAUCCACCUUCAGUCUAGAUAAAAUGAAGCAGACAAAGCAUUCCUUUUAUCUUCUAUCACCAUGUAGAUUCCAUUUGCUUCUGUUCCCCAGUCCUUCUCAAGCAGCCCCUGUGCUCCAUUUUUUUUCUCUUCUCCUCCCUUCUUUUUUGCUUCCCACCCCUUCUCCUUUUCUAAUACCUAUUCUCUCACAUUAGCCAAACUGAGUUUGAUACAAAUAAAGGGAAUUUUAUUUUUUAUUAAAAAUUUUGCCCAUUAAUAUUUAUAAGAUGUUUUUGUUUUAACUGUGUAUUUUAGUUAUAUGAUAAUCUGUUUCCUACACUUGACCAUGAGCUCCUCAGAGAAGCUCUGUCUCAUUCAUCCCUGCCUACUCAGAGGUACUCAGAGGACACUCAAAUGUUAGUCAUAACUUAGGUGGUCCUGUUUAUCUUUCCAUAACUCUAGAAAUUAUCUAAUUCAAAUAUGGCAGACAUCAUGGCUGAAAUGUAUUCUGUAGAUCCCAUAGGGUCUGCUCAGAUGCCUGUGUUCUCACUGAGACAUGAGGUAUCUUUUUGCAUCUUUUCCCCUGCCCUAUCUUAAGCUUUUUGCCAUUUCCUUUUUUCGUUGUUCAAAUUAACACAGUAUAGCUGUUUCUCCUAACUUGUAUAAUAAUCUGUCACAGAGCAUUAUGGGGUCACUCAGUUUUCCUUUUCUAAACUGAAAUGUAAAGAUUUAAUAAAUUGAUUGGUCAUUGAGAAGAAGCUCUAAAACUGAAACACGAGUAAUUAAGAAAGAAACUGAAGAAAAGGCAGCAGAAAGAACUGACCAUGAAUGUAGUGUUGCAGACAAAACAUAUUGUUAAGGUGCAUGUACAUAUUAUGGUAGGGUGGUAGGCUCUUAUAUUGAUGGUCUCCAAUGAAUCAUGGCUCCCAGAAUUUAUGAUUUGUCAUGGUUCCCUCCCACAUUGACUCUGGGUUUGGCUAUGUGACUUACUUGGUCCAAUGGGACAUUAGCAACUGUGACACAGCCGAAGGUCGAUAAGUUCUUGUACAUUGAAAUUGGCUUGGAAGCAAGAGAGCUCAGGUUUUUAUGGACUUGGGGUUCAUAAUGCUGAUGGUAAAACUCUUUGAAGUAGUUACUUUAUCAUUGGCUUUCAUUAAGUUUCUAAAAAAUUUUUUAAUUUUAUUUUAGAGAGAAAACUCAGGGGAGGGGGCAGAGGAAGAGAGAGAGGGAGGGAGAGAGAGAGAGAGAGAGAGAGAGAGAGAGAGAGAGAGAGAGAAUCUUAAGCAGUCUCUUUGCUCAGUGUGGAGCCUGAUGUGGGGCUCAAUCCCACGACCCUGGGAUCAUGACCUGAGCGGAAAUCAAGAGUUAGAUGCUCACCGGACUGAGCCACUCAGGUGCCCUUAAAUUCCUUUUUAUAUAAUAAGAUGAAUUUCUCCUUUUCUGUAGUAUAGCAAUACCUAAAAAGAUGGCUCAGGAAACAGCAGAAGACAAGUUGGAAAAUGCUGGAGAAAAGAAAAAUAGAGAUUUCCUUAAUGGAAGUGUUGGAAUUUGGGAGAACACAUUAAACAGAAGAGGAAAAAGGAGAUCUUGAAGGUCACGCUCAACAUAUGGAAAGGAUAAAAUAGCAACAACAACCAGACUGGACAGCUUAUGGAGUAGGACUUUAAAAGGAGGGAAAUAAUUUAGUAACUAAUUGGCUGGAGAGAGUGACUAGAGUCUUAAAAAGAAUCUAACAGGUGGGGUGCCUGGGUGGCUCAGCUGGUUAAGCAUCUGACUUCAGCUCAGGUCAUGAUAAACAUUAAAAAAACGUUAAAUAAACAGAAGUAAACAUUAAAAGCAUUUUUAAAGUCCCAUUCAAUGGUGAAAAUAUUUCUAAUAAUAAUAGCCCUUAUUGAAUUUCACGUGUUUUAAAUAAUUUCACACAUAUUAAAUAAUUUAAUCCUAAGAACUCCACGAGCGAAGUACUAUCUUCUCCCUUUGACAAGUGGAAAAUGUGACUGAGAGAAGCUAAGUAAACUUUCCCAAAAUCACACAGGUAGUAAGAGGUAGAGCUGGGAUAGGAACCCAGGCACAAUGGCCUCAAAGUCCAUACUUUUAACUAGCAUGCCAUAAUGCCUUGAAAAUUAUCCAGUACCGCUGAACUUCCAUUGCCUGUGUAGACCAUGUACUCCUGGAUUGAGUGUGGAUUCUGUCUAGUCCUAUUUGAGCAGAAUCUGUGUAGGCCCUAGAAUCUAUGUCCUAGGGACGCUUUACCCUGAGGUCCCCACAUCCGUUUCAGUUGUAGAAUCAUCCUCAGCAGAUUUCUGAACAGAAUCUGUUAUUCACACUACUGAAGUAUUUACCCCUUGAGCCUAGUGAGGACUAAUCCUACUGCCAUGUUCUCUCUUGCAAAAAACUAACCCUUUUCAGCUUUUGGAUUUUCUAUACUCUAAGAACUUACUUCACAUGAAUGGGAUGGAACUCUUUCCUCUGUCACACCGAUUUCUGUGGUGGAGAUCCAUGGCAAAACUACCCACUCUUCCAGGCUACAUUUCUUCUACUCUUUUCAGGAAGGUUCCCUUAGUUUUAUAAAUCCUAUCCUGACCCUCACAGUGAUUCCUUUCCUUCUCAAAAACCUGCAAGCAGCCCUGUUUGGUGGAACUGGCUGCUCUCUCUUUAUUACUUCCCCUUGAUUUAGGGCUCAGACAUUGGUUUUUUCCCUAACAGAUUCUAUUUUUGUUUUGGGAAGGCUCCCACAGGCAGAAAUAUGAAGCCAAGGAGUUAUUGAAUUAUCAAACCACCAACUGUUCACCUAACCUUGCCCACCUUCACCUCCAUUGGAUGAAUUCAUUCUCUCCCAUUACCCCACAUGGACUUAGGGUCAAUCACUUUGGUCCUCCCUCAUUCAUUUUAGUGUUUCUCCUUUUUCUGUGCUUCUCUUCUGAGAUUUAACUCUAGAAAUUCUUGGUUCCCUAGGGCUCAGGAGAUACAAAAAUCUUUACCUGGACACUGACUUAAUAAUACGUGAAGGCAUCUAUUCUAAUUGCCCAAGUUCUUGACUUAAAAGUCUAUUCAGUUUUUCUGUAACCACUUUGACUAGCUUUCCUGUCCUUAAAGGGAAUAUCUCCAAGAGCACCUGCAGUUACUCAGUUAUCUCCUGGGCUUGUGCUCCCUCUGGGAACAUUACUCUAGUUUCCUCUGUUAGAUUUAAAAAAAUUUUUUUUUUCAUGUUUAUUUUUGAGAGAGAGAGAGAGACAGAGCACGAGUGGGUGAGAAGCAGAGGUGGGGUGGGGGGACACAGAAUCUGAAGCAGGCUCCAGAUUCUGAGCUGUCAGCAAAGAGCCCUAUGUGGGGCUUGAACCCACGAGCUGGGAGAUCAUGACCUGAGCUGAACUUGGACUCUCAACUGACGGAGCCACCCAGGAAGGAAGAUUAUCCUAGAUAAUCUGGGUGGACCUGAUUCAGUUAUUUAAAAGGUCGUGAGAACAGAAGACCUGCAUCUUCCCUGAAAAAGAAAUUCUGUCUAGAGGAAGCAGUUUCAGUUUGUGCCUGAGAGUUGCAGACAGUUCCCUUCCUGAUGGCCUGCCCUAUGAUUUUCCGGCUUGCCUAGCCAGCCCUGAUAAUUGCAUAAGCCAAGUCCUUGCAAUAAAUCUCUUAUUAUGUAUUUCUUACUGAUUCUGUUUCUCCAGUUGAGCCAUGAUUGACAUAUAUAUUUCUGUAACUUGCUUUUUCACUAAUAAAAUGUCUUAGAGACGGCAUUAUAUUUAACUGCUGAAUAAUAGCAUGUAAUAUGACUAUAAUGUGUCUCAUCUGAUCAUCCUAUUAUUGGUGGGUAUUUUAGUUGUUUAGAUUCAAAUUUAAAUCAGAUUCAAACUUAUUUUCAUUGGCUACUUUGGAAAUUUGCUUUAUUGACUUCUUGUAUCCAGUAUUACUAUAAUAAAAUCUAAUACAAAUCA